UACAGAGGGUGCAAGCGUUGUCCGGAAUCACUGGGCGUAAAGCGCGCGCAGGCGGCGAUCUGCGUCUGGGGUGAAAGCCCGAGGCUCAACCUCGGGACUGCCUUGGAUACGGGAUUGCUUGAGGAUCGGAGAGGCAAGGGGAAUUCCACGUGUAGCGGUGAAAUGCGUAGAUAUGUGGAGGAACACCAGUGGCGAAGGCGCCUUGCUGGCCGAUUUCUGACGCUGAGGCGCGAAAGCGUGGGGAGCAAACAGG
RNAcentral lists this unclassified non-coding RNA (253 nucleotides) under uncultured Alicyclobacillaceae bacterium. RNAcentral describes it as "contains 16S-23S intergenic spacer region". It matches the Rfam family "Bacterial small subunit ribosomal RNA", at positions 524 to 776 of the family's 1533-position model. Lineage: Bacteria; Bacillati; Bacillota; Bacilli; Caryophanales; Alicyclobacillaceae. The record is from RNAcentral.